CUAAGAAGAGGUGUAAAGGAUGCACAAGGGGUUUUGAUCUCCUUAGAAUAGGUUCAAAUCCUUUUUUCUUAGA
This 73-nucleotide transfer RNA is filed under the name Hynobius formosanus (Formosan salamander). RNAcentral's name for it is "tRNA-Gln". It matches the Rfam family "tRNA". From Rfam's summary of the family: Transfer RNA (tRNA) molecules are approximately 80 nucleotides in length. Their secondary structure includes four short double-helical elements and three loops (D, anti-codon, and T loops). The record is from RNAcentral. Lineage: Eukaryota; Metazoa; Chordata; Amphibia; Caudata; Hynobiidae. RNAcentral also lists the same sequence under 1 other name.